GGCUUUAUAGUUAAUUAUAAUAUUAGACUGCAAUUCUAAAGAAGUAGAGGAAGACUACUAAGGCCU
RNAcentral lists this transfer RNA (66 nucleotides) under Tarragoilus diuturnus. RNAcentral describes it as "tRNA-Cys". It matches the Rfam family "tRNA". From Rfam's summary of the family: Transfer RNA (tRNA) molecules are approximately 80 nucleotides in length. Their secondary structure includes four short double-helical elements and three loops (D, anti-codon, and T loops). Lineage: Eukaryota; Metazoa; Arthropoda; Insecta; Orthoptera; Prophalangopsidae. The record is from RNAcentral.